UUCUAUGGCGGGCCGUGGUGGGGAGGCCUUCGGGCCUGCCGGUGCCAAGUUGCCGGUUCGCCAACCCUGCCACGUGCCUGCCACCCCC
Molecule: non-coding RNA, 88 nt
Filed under: Pseudogulbenkiania sp. NH8B
Lineage: Bacteria; Pseudomonadati; Pseudomonadota; Betaproteobacteria; Neisseriales; Chromobacteriaceae
Source: RNAcentral